RNAcentral lists this unclassified non-coding RNA (517 nucleotides) under Hevea brasiliensis (rubber tree). Lineage: Eukaryota; Viridiplantae; Streptophyta; Magnoliopsida; Malpighiales; Euphorbiaceae. The record is from RNAcentral.
AAGAAAGAAUUAGUGUAUCCCUGCUUCAAGCCUGUAAUUAAUUAUUAUCCAGCUUCCAAACUGAUGACAGCAAAAAGGAAAAAGAAAAAUAAUUAAUUACAGGCUUGAAGCAGGUAUACACUAAUUCUUUCUUCUGUCAAGGCUCAGUGCAACAGGCAACUAACCUUGUCCAAGCUCCAAGCUCUUGCUUGUCAGUGGGAAUUGAAAGCAACUGAAGAGAGUUGCUUCUUUGUUUCUAUGUUUGGUGCCAUCAAACAAUCCUGUUCAAAGGAAUUCUUUCACUUUGUCGAGCAAUCCGUUCCAGAGGCAUAAUCAUUUGCGGCAUUGUCAUACCUCCAGAGACAAUGAUCUCUAUGCCUUCUCGUAUUGACAGAUUUGGUCUUAUGAUGUCCUUAGAGUUCACAAGGAAUAUAUCGCCAAUGUACAGGUGAUUUGUUGGGACAAAAACACUGCAUAACUCUUCAUCUUCAUUAUCUCUCUGAAGGAUUACUGUUGAUGUGAUAAAACCAAAUGCAUA